GAUCCAAAAGGUGAAAAGAUCCCUGCAGAUCUCUGCAAUCUCUCAAGUUUAUUUCAUUUUGAUUCGUCCAGGAAGUAGGACAAGCGACCGCGAACCUCAUCCACCCCAACGGAAUAUUAUCCGUGAAUCCAAGAACACCCAUCGAUCCCUCUCUUUCUCUCUCACCUUCUCCCACGCGUGCGCCGCCCCACCCCGUGUCUCUAUCCCUUCACCCUCUGCUUCUUCCACGCGUAGCACCAAACCCACCGCCUCGUGCUCUUCCUCCACCUCCACUUUUCUGGAGCACCAAAGUCACACGCGAGGGCCCACCAUCCUCACAGAGAUGGAUCUCAACGGAGCGGAUCUAGCCUCCCUGUCGCCUCCUCCACCGGGAGCGACGACAUCCUCCACCAAGAUCUGCGUGGGGAGGCUGAUGUUCUCGACGGGCAGGAGCACUCGCCGACGUGCUCCAUCUCCUUGUUUGCCACCUCCGUCGAGAGCCGCGUGAUUGUCGCCUUCGAGAGCGCGGCUGCAGCCCAUCCAUGGUGUGCAUCCAGAGCCUUGCGACGACAUCACCAAGUCGGCGAGCAUUGGAUCCACACCUCCGGUGAGCAGUGUCUCCCCUUCCCGUAGUCUGACAAGACACCAUGGACGCCCCCGUCAUAGUCCUUGUGGGCCGGUGGAUGAGGCAGCUAGCCCAAGGCGAGCUAGACGAUGCGUGCACGCCGAGCGACCACAACAGCGGCUGCUCGUUCAGGUCAACCACCACGCGUGCAGGCCACCAUGGUGUCCGUCGCGACCGUUGAUGGCCUUCGGGCCUGAUCUGCAGAUCGGCGGGAUACGGCAUGGUGGGUAGGAGGUGAGCUGGCCGUGGUGGGGAGGAGGAGCAGUUAUGGCGGGAGAGAGAUUGCCGUUGUGAACACAAACCGCAAAAAAAAACAUCCACAUCAACGUUGUUGAAAUUGAAGUUGUCCAUGAGACAAAAGCACAUCCACGGGCCAUGGCAAAAUUUUCCAGACGCUAAACCAGGAGAAUUAUGGCUUAUUUUGUCUAAACUUCUAUUUUUAUGUUCACGAGCUUGGAUGCUAAAUUGUAUACUAUAUAAUUGUUUGUACAUGACUUUGCAACUUUCCUAACCGGACUUUGAUAUUUACAAUAUUCGAAAACACUUUUAACUUUUGAAAUGUGAUGCUUGUGCUCCUGCACCGAGUUUUAAUCUUCUGAAAGUUGACUAGUGAAUCUUUGAUGGAUAUUUUGAGCUCAUUUUCUGGUCAUGCCUGAAACACUUUUAACGUUUGAUUUUGCUAAUUUUCGGGAGAUGUAAAUCUGAAUAAAUAUUGUAAGUGAAACAUUGAAUGAACUGUUAUCUGAAUCAGCGCAUGUUGAAUUUGACC
Long non-coding RNA from Triticum aestivum (bread wheat), 1373 nucleotides. RefSeq lists it as uncharacterized. NCBI's taxonomy places the organism in Eukaryota, Viridiplantae, Streptophyta, Magnoliopsida, Poales, Poaceae. The record is from RefSeq and is a predicted model, not a curated record. The transcript is spliced from 2 exons.